Molecule: microRNA precursor, 137 nt
Filed under: Chlorocebus sabaeus (green monkey)
Lineage: Eukaryota; Metazoa; Chordata; Mammalia; Primates; Cercopithecidae
Description: miRNA (ENSCSAG00000023309.1)
Source: RNAcentral
UUAGCUUUGUGGUGGCUCUCAGUCUUCUUGGGGAGCAACACGGCCUGGAUGUUAGGCAGAACACCGCCCUGAGCGAUGGUAACUUUACCAAGCAGCUUGUUGAGCUCCUCGUCGUUGCGGAUGGCCAGCUGCAAGUG